CCUACGGGAGGCAGCAGUGGGGAAUUUUGGACAAUGGGCGCAAGCCUGAUCCAGCAAUGCCGCGUGCAGGAUGAAGGCCUUCGGGUUGUAAACUGCUUUUGUGCGGAACGAAACGGUGAGCUCUAAUACAGUUUGCUAAUGACGGUACCGUAAGAAUAAGCACCGGCUAACUACGUGCCAGCAGCCGCGGUAAUACGUAGGGUGCGAGCGUUAAUCGGAAUUACUGGGCGUAAAGCGUGCGCAGGCGGUGAUGUAAGACAGAUGUGAAAUCCCCGGGCUCAACCUGGGACCUGCAUUUGUGACUGCAUCGCUAGAGUACGGUAGAGGGGGAUGGAAUUCCGCGUGUAGCAGUGAAAUGCGUAGAUAUGCGGAGGAACACCGAUGGCGAAGGCAAUCCCCUGGACCUGUACUGACGCUCAUGCACGAAAGCGUGGGGAGCAAACAGGAUUAGAUACCCUGGUAGUCCACGCCCUAAACGAUGUCAACUGGUUGUUGGGUCUUCACUGACUCAGUAACGAAGCUAACGCGUGAAGUUGACCGCCUGGGGAGUACGGCCGCAAGGUUGAAACGUCAAAUGAAUUGACGG
Molecule: ribosomal RNA, 586 nt
Filed under: uncultured bacterium
Lineage: Bacteria
Description: bacterial SSU rRNA
Rfam family: Bacterial small subunit ribosomal RNA
Source: RNAcentral